UGUUUGCCGAAUCAAGCACGGAUAUUGUAAUAGUAAUAAUGGAUGACUUCAAGACAAAGGAAAGAAGUGUCAAUUUUACUAAGGAAGAGAUUAGUCGAUUGCAGAUACUUGUAGACAAAUAUAAAAUGUACUUAUGUGUAAAAAAACUGAUGGGAGUAGUACAAAACAAAAAGACCAUGCAUGGCACUGCAUCGCAAAGGAAUUUAAUGCUGUUGGUCAAGUACCUAGAAACAUGAAGCAGCUAAAAUAUAAAUUUGAAAAUAUGAAAAGAUCUGCAAAGAAGGUAGCAAGUAGAGAACGUCAGGAAAUGAGACGCACAGGUGGAGGAAAUCCUCCCUCACUUCCUCCAGAUUCAGAAGAUGCUACUGAUUGGUUAAGAUCCAUUAUGUCUGGAUCUAUUGAUGGAAAUGAGGCUAUAUAUGAUGAUGACAUUAUUUCCCAAAUUCCAUUGUUACAAUUCCCAUAAUUCACAAAGAUAAGGAUUUUGAUGAAAUUCCUCCUAUACAAAAAAAAGUGAAACUAGACACAAAUACUGAUAGUGAAAUUCAACAUGACAUGCCCAAUAUACUCAAGGAUGUUGUAGUCAACACAAUUAUUACAGAUCAAGACAAAAGUUUUGAUAAUGUUGAAAAUAUUGUCCCAGAUGAAGUUUUUGAUGCUAGUGCCCCACAUUCAUCACUAAAGAGACCAGUAGCACCACAACUAAGUCGUAUCAUAAAGAAAAAACAAGGGAAGAGUGAAAAUAUCAUAAAACAAGCACUAAGGGAAAAGAAACUGACAGUUUUAGAUGGCCUUCAUGAGUUGGAGAUGGAAAAGAUAAAGUUAUCUAUUAGUCACCAAAAUGAAUUACACAGCCAGUUACUGAGGCACAAUGAAGAAAAACAUAAGCUUGAAGUGGAUAAACUUAAACUUGAAAUAGAUAUU
Helicoverpa armigera (cotton bollworm) is the source of this 924-nucleotide long non-coding RNA. RefSeq lists it as uncharacterized. The transcript has 7 exons. The record is from RefSeq and is a predicted model, not a curated record. Lineage: Eukaryota; Metazoa; Arthropoda; Insecta; Lepidoptera; Noctuidae.